Molecule: ribosomal RNA, 119 nt
Filed under: Aegilops tauschii subsp. strangulata
Lineage: Eukaryota; Viridiplantae; Streptophyta; Magnoliopsida; Poales; Poaceae
Source: RNAcentral
GGAUGCGAUCAUACCAGCACUAAAGCACCGGAUCCCAUCAGAACUCCGUAGUUAAGCGUGCUUGGGCGAGAGUAGUACUAGGAUGGGUGACUUCCUGGGAAGUCCUCGUGUUGCAUUCC